AUUGAACGCUGGCGGCAGGCCUAACACAUGCAAGUCGAACGAGUGGCGGACGGGUGAGUAAUGUCUGGGAAACUGCCUGAUGGAGGGGGAUAACUACUGGAAACGGUAGCUAAUACCGCAUACCCUCGGAUGUGCCCAGAUGGGAUUAGCGAGUCGGUGGGGGAAAGGCUCACCUAGGCGACGAUCCCCUGCUGGGCUGAGAGGAUGACCGGCCACACUGGAACUGAGACACGGUCCAGACUCCUACGGGAGGCAGCAGUGGGGAAUCUUUCCCAAUGGGCGAAAGCCUGAUGCAGCCAGGCCGCGUGUAUGAAGAAGGCCUUCGGGUUGUAAAGUACUUUCAGCGGGGAGGCGUUACCCGCAGAAGAAGCACCGGCUAACUCCGUGCCAGCAGCCGCGGUAAUAC
Molecule: ribosomal RNA, 406 nt
Filed under: uncultured bacterium
Lineage: Bacteria
Description: partial 16S ribosomal RNA
Rfam family: Bacterial small subunit ribosomal RNA
Source: RNAcentral